Molecule: long non-coding RNA, 2958 nt
Organism: Glycine soja
Lineage: Eukaryota; Viridiplantae; Streptophyta; Magnoliopsida; Fabales; Fabaceae
Exons: 8
Source: RefSeq, a predicted model, not a curated record
ACUCCACAACCUAAAUCCAAGGCUACUGCUAGGUGAAUUGUUGUUAAGGUUGCCAUGAGUUGAUUGCCAUGUACAAGUUAGACUCAGCCAGAGGUUGUUCACAUUGCACGAGGAGAGUCGUAGACCUCACUUAUAGUAGUUUAUGUUAAUGUUUUAUUAUGAGAUACAAUACUUCAUUAUAUGAUUUUUGGUGAACUGUAUGCAUCAAAAGGUGCAUGUACGACUCUUAAGGAAAAAAAUGGAAUCCUAAUCAAUCGACUUUAUCGAGAAAGAUUACUUUUUUUAGAUCAAGAGGUUGAUAAUGAAAUAUCGAAUCAACUAAUUAGUCUUAUGGUAUAUCUUAGUAUAGAAGAAGAGAAUAAAGAUUUGUAUCUGUUUAUAAAUUCUCCGGGGGGUGGGUAGUAGAUUAUGACAUUUGUAUCGAACUUUAUAAUUGUUUCUUUAAGAUUUAUAUUUCAAACUUGUUAUAGUUUACUUAUGGACAUGUAUGACCUUUGGAAUGCCAAGAGGCUUAUUUAGUUUCUAUCUAUAUAUGCUAUUUGGGAAGUAAGAGUAUGUGAUGCCUUUUAUUUUAUAAGUUAUGUUUAAAAAAGUUUUUGAAAAAUUCAUUUAAAAUAUAUUCUGCGAUGUUAACUAAUAAUGAUAAUUAUAUGUUGGGGUAAAGGGUGUCGCACCUAGAAACUAGGUGGAUUCUCUUACUCUAAAGCAAUUUUCUUGGCAAAGAUUGCCUCACUUAGCAAGACAGUUUGUGAAACUUUCUAUCAAAUUUUUGUAUAGAGACAUUUGAAUUCACUUAGUGACACUUACCUAUUUUUCUCCCGGAGGCUAACUGCUUAGUGACUCACUACAUGCAUCCUAAAUGGAUUUAUUAUCUCAAUUUCGCUCAGCCAAUCCUCUACAGGAAUUUCCUAGAUUUUUAUCUACAUUUCACUCAACGAAAAGAAGUUUCCCCUAGCAACAUACUAUUUUCACUUAGCGAGAUAAAUCAUGCCCAAUGACUCUGCUACAGAAGUUCCACUCAUUAUCUGAUUUUUUUUUUCACUCCCUGAUAUAUAGUUGUUGCACAACAAAUUGGCUAUAGGUGUUUCCUCCUACCUACUACCUUAUUUUCAGUUAGCGAAGGUGGAUAUUCGUAUAGUAAAUUUCCUCUCCCUCACUACUAGAAAAGAUUGUAUUUACGACGCGCUAUCUACGACAGUUCUAAAAAACCGAUUUAGAAUAUGGCGUGGUGGCAAUUUUGUAAUUAGGUGAAUAAAAAUUUGUUUUUACGUCGUACAUUCUAAGGCGGUUAUAAAUAACCGUCUUAGAAUGUGACACGAUGGCAUUUCCGUAAUUAUCAAAAGCUUGAACAACGACAGGUUUAAAGCAAAACUGCCUUCGUAUUCCUUCCUUUACCACUUAUUAACCCUAGCUUAAGCUUAUCCUCCCCCAUUGACGACAACUUUCUUUCUCUCUCUCUUUCUCUUUCUUUCCCCUUUUCGUAUUCCUCCCCCAUUGCACGCUAGGGUUUCUGCGCGCAUUCGACGCUGCUCCUGACGCUCCCAAUGCCUUCGUUCACGAUGUUACAGUGCUCCGUGACUUCCUCGCCAACACGCGUAGGGACAACGCCACCGUUUAGGUCCCCGUCCCCAAGGUUCUGUCGCCGCUUCUUCCUCCGUCCGACGCUGUUCCUCUUGGCCCUGACGCACUCGAUGAGUCCGCCUCCAUGAAGGCCAAGCGCAUCGCCCUCCAACGCAAGGGCGCCGCCGCCAUGAUUGUCGUCGAGGAGUACGCUCGCCACUUCAAGUUCGACGAUGUUUUGAUAAUUCUUGUGCUACAAAUAGGGAAAUUGGGUUGUUCAGAAUGGUACAAAAAAUGGAGAAAGAAAGAUAGUGCUUGGAAGAAAUAUUCACACCACGUGCCUUGAAGUCACUGAGCCUGGUAUAGAUGAUGAGGUUAUUGGGGAAAGGGAAGCUUAUAUGGCAGGCAUGUUGGCUAAAUACAAAAAAUCUCUGAAAGGACCAACUAUCAUUCAGAUGAGGAAAUGCCCAAAGAAGAGCCCUUGGUUGUUCGCCUCAAGGCGCGCAUGCAAGAAAUGAAGGAAAAAGAACUCAAGUACCUUGGAAAUGGCGAUGCCAAUUCCCAUGUUUGUAAAGUAUGUUUUGAAUCUCCAACUACAGUAAUUCUGCUUUCAUGCCGACAUUUUUGUUUGUGUAAAUCUUGUUCACUUGCUUGUUUUGAGGGUCCAAUAUGCCGCACAAGUAUUACUGAUAGGAUUUUUGCUUUUACAUAACAGAGGGCUUUAUCCCAUUGAAUUAAUAUACUCCAUGCUAUUACGGGUGCAAUUCUUUUAUUAGUUUGCCUAUAUGUAACUGCGUUUAAAAGGUGCUGGAUUUGGAUCUAAGAGAAAAUAUAUGUUUCGGAAAGUGACCAUCCAGCUCAAGCUUGUGAAGGGUGACUCUGCUGGAACUGGACCAUUUCUAUGUAAGUGGAAAUUUAUCUUUUAUUUUAAAGAACAAAUUUGCUUAUGAUGCUCUUUUGAUGUUUUAGUAUGAUGCUUGUGAUAAUUACUAUUUACUAGCUAUAGUGCUUAGUUAACAAUGAACAUAAUUUACGGUGUACAUAUUCAGCUCAAUGCAUUGAGCUUUUCUCAAGUGCAGACAACCCGAUUUGCAUCAAUGAAUUGAAUAUUACCGGUUUAGGCAUCAUGGAGAUUCCUAUUUGCUUAGGUGGCUCCAUUUCAUCCACUGGCUCCACUUUAUAUGUGCUCAUGUUUUCCUGCUUUUACAAGAUCGAAUGUCUCUUGGAUUCCAAUAUAUAUGUCUUAACUUCUUAGUCAUAUAUAGUUUCUGAUACAACUUUUAAUUCACUCCCUUUUUGGCUGCCAACCUUGCAAACGAAGGGUGGAAUCCGUAGGCCAUAAUGUCUUUUGAUUUUGAUACAAGAGAUGCUAUAAUGCAUGAACCUCUUUGGGUCAAA